Molecule: unclassified non-coding RNA, 586 nt
Filed under: Apiospora arundinis
Lineage: Eukaryota; Fungi; Ascomycota; Sordariomycetes; Amphisphaeriales; Apiosporaceae
Description: sequence contains 18S rRNA gene, ITS1, 5.8S rRNA gene, ITS2, 28S rRNA gene
Rfam family: 5.8S ribosomal RNA (bases 225-378)
Source: RNAcentral
UCGUAACAAGGUCUCCGUUGGUGAACCAGCGGAGGGAUCAUUACAGAGUUAUACAACUCCCAUACCAUCUGUUAACCUACCCAGUUAUGCCUCGGCGUAAGCUCGGUUGGAGGCACCUGCAGCUACCCUGUAGUUGCGGACUGCCAACUCCAGCCGCGGCCCGCCGGCGGUACACUAAACUCUGUUUUAUUUUAUAUUCUGAGCGUCUUAUUUUAAUAAGUUAAAACUUUCAACAACGGAUCUCUUGGUUCUGGCAUCGAUGAAGAACGCAGCGAAAUGCGAUAAGUAAUGUGAAUUGCAGAAUUCAGUGAAUCAUCGAAUCUUUGAACGCACAUUGCGCCCAUCAGUAUUCUGGUGGGCAUGCCUGUUCGAGCGUCAUUUCAACCCUUAAGCCUAGCUUAGUGUUGGGAAUCUGCUGUACUGCAGUUCCUUAAAGACAGUGGCGGAGCGGCGGUAGUCCUCUGAGCGUAGUAAUUUAUUUCUCGCUUUUGUCAGGCUCUGUCCUCCCGCCAUAAAACCCCCAAUUUUUUAGUGGUUGACCUCGGAUCAGGUAGGAAUACCCGCUGAACUUAAGCAUAUCAAUAAG